CCCACUUAUUAACGACCCCCCAGUGCGGAGGGAAUUUUCCCCUUCUUACGGUGGAUCCUGGCGGGACGAGAAUUGCUCUUGGGAUUGAGCUUUAGACAUGCGGAAUGGAUCGUCUUUUUGACUGCAGGAGGGCGUAGCAUACGACUCAGUAACAUGUAGUCAACCUGGCCUGGAGACGUCGGAUAACCCCGGGAAACGUGGAUUAAUUCUCGAUAGGUCACCUCAUCGGUAAGGAGAGAUGUCCCAAAGGGGAGCUGUGAGCAUGUUUCACUACUAUCGCUCCAGGAUGGGACUGCGGCCGAUCAGGCUGUUGGCGGGGUAAAGGCCCUCCAAACCUGUAACCGGUACGGGCUUUGAGAGAAGGAGCCCGGAGAUGGACACUAUGUCAAGGGUCCAGGUCCUUCGGGGCGCAGCAGGCGCGAAACCUUCGCAAUGCGCGAAAGCGUGACGAGGUUAGUCCGAGUGGCUUCCGCUGAGGAGGUCUUUUGCUGGCUCUAAAAAGGCUGGAGAAUAAGGGGAGGGCAAGCCUGGUGUCAGCCGCCGCGGUAAUACCAGCACCCCGAGUGGUCGGGACGUUUAUUGGGCCUAAAGCAUCCGUAGCCGGUUCUACAAGUCUUCCGUUAAAUCCACCUGCUUAACAGAUGGGCUGCGGAAGAUACUAUAGAGCUAGGAGGCGGGAGAGGCAAGCGGUACUCGAUGGGUAGGGGUAAAAUCCGUUGAUCCAUUGAAGACCACCAGUGGCGAAGGCGGCUUGCCAGAACGCGCUCGACGGUGAGGGAUGAAAGCUGGGGGAGCAAACCGGAUUAGAUACCCGGGUAGUCCCAGCUGUAAACGAUGCAGACUCGGUGAUGAGUUGGCUUAUUGCUAACUCAGUGCCGCAGGGAAGCCGUUAAGUUUGCCGCCUGGGGCGUACGGUCGCAAGACUGAAACUUAAAGGAAUUGGCGGGGGAGCA
This 953-nucleotide ribosomal RNA is filed under the name uncultured archaeon. Its description in RNAcentral is "bacterial SSU rRNA". It matches the Rfam family "Archaeal small subunit ribosomal RNA", at positions 1 to 878 of the family's 1478-position model. The record is from RNAcentral.